This 262-nucleotide long non-coding RNA is filed under the name Lathyrus oleraceus (garden pea). Its description in RNAcentral is "Pisum sativum (pea) long non-coding RNA (PSAT_LNC026115)". Lineage: Eukaryota; Viridiplantae; Streptophyta; Magnoliopsida; Fabales; Fabaceae. The record is from RNAcentral.
AUAAAACAAGGGACAAAAACAUGUAUAAAAUUCUAUAACAAUUUCAAGGGAUAAAAACAAGGGAUAAAAUUUAUGGGAUAAAAUUAUGAGAUAAAUAUAGGGAUAAUAUGGGAUAAAAUUUGGGGAUAAUUUCUAAGAUUUUAAGGGAUUUAAAUUAGGGAUAACAUUGGGAUAGAGGAUUUAUCUUAUUACAUUUUUUAAUUUUCUUAAUUAAAUUAAACUAUAUUUUCAAAUCAAAUGGGAGAAGGACAUGAGAUACAAA